RNAcentral lists this ribosomal RNA (484 nucleotides) under uncultured bacterium. Its description in RNAcentral is "partial 16S ribosomal RNA". It matches the Rfam family "Bacterial small subunit ribosomal RNA", at positions 30 to 507 of the family's 1533-position model. The record is from RNAcentral.
AUUGAACGCUGGCGGCAGGCCUAACACAUGCCAGUCGAGCGGAUGAAGGGAGCUUGCUCCUGGAUUCAGCGGCGGACGGGUGAGUAAUGCCUAGGAAUCUGCCUGGUAGUGGGGGAUAACGUCCGGAAACGGGCGCUAAUACCGCAUACGUCCUGAGGGAGAAAGUGGGGGAUCUUCGGACCUCACGCUAUCAGAUGAACCUAGGUCGGAUUAGCUAGUUGGUGGGGUAAAGGCCUACCAAGGCGACGAUCCGUAACUGGUCUGAGAGGAUGAUCAGUCACACUGGAACUGAGACACGGUCCAGACUCCUACGGGAGGCAGCAGUGGGGAAUAUUGGACAAUGGGCGAAAGCCUGAUCCAGCCAUGCCGCGUGUGUGAAGAAGGUCUUCGGAUUGUAAAGCACUUUAAGUUGGGAGGAAGGGCAGUAAGUUAAUACCUUGCUGUUUUGACGGUACCAACAGGAUAAGCACCGGCUAACUUCGUG